AUACAUGAACCUGGGUAAAGCAAGAAUACCGCUGACUUUGGGGAAGUGGGAAAGGGAUUCCACCUGAGGUGACACCAAGUGGACUCCUGGAGACACUGAUCUGGGGAAGGCACUGACCUAACUCGCUGACCUUAGGUAAGUGGGGAAGGGAAGACAUCCGGGAGCGAGCGGAUGGAUUCCUGGAUACAUAAACUUGGGGAAGGUUGUUGUUGAGGCUAACCUUGGGUAAAUGGGGAAGGGGAGACAUCUGGGAGCGAGCGGAUGGAUUCCUGGAUACAUGAACCUCCGGAAAGCAAGAAUACCAGCAGUUGAGGCUGACCUUGGGGAAGUGGGGAAGGGAAGACAUCCGGCGGUAGACGGAUCGAUUCCUGGAUACAUGAACCUGGGUAAAGCAAGAAUACCGCUGACUUUGGGGAAGUGGAGAAGGGAUUUCCACCUGAGGUGACACCAAGUGGACUCCUGGAGACACUGAUCCGGGGAAGGCACUGACCUAACUCGCUGACCUUAGGUAAGUGGGGAAGGGAAGACAUCCGGGAGCGAGCGGAUGGAUU
Molecule: non-coding RNA, 551 nt
Organism: Cherax quadricarinatus
Lineage: Eukaryota; Metazoa; Arthropoda; Malacostraca; Decapoda; Parastacidae
Source: RefSeq, a predicted model, not a curated record